Molecule: ribosomal RNA, 497 nt
Filed under: uncultured bacterium
Lineage: Bacteria
Description: partial 16S ribosomal RNA
Rfam family: Bacterial small subunit ribosomal RNA
Source: RNAcentral
GAUGAACGCUGGCGGCGUGCCUAAUACAUGCAAGUCGAGCGAACAGACGAGGAGCUUGCUCCUCUGACGUUAGCGGCGGACGGGUGAGUAACACGUGGAUAACCUACCUAUAAGACUGGGAUAACUUCGGGAAACCGGAGCUAAUACCGGAUAAUAUAUUGAACCGCAUGGUUCAAUAGUGAAAGACGGUUUUGCUGUCACUUAUAGAUGGAUCCGCGCCGCAUUAGCUAGUUGGUAAGGUAACGGCUUACCAAGGCGACGAUGCGUAGCCGACCUGAGAGGGUGAUCGGCCACACUGGAACUGAGACACGGUCCAGACUCCUACGGGAGGCAGCGGUAGGGAAUCUUCCGCAAUGGGCGAAAGCCUGACGGAGCAACGCCGCGUGAGUGAUGAAGGUCUUCGGAUCUUAAAACUCUGUUAUUAGGGAAGAACAAAUGUGUAAGUAACUAUGCACGUCUUGACGGUACCUAAUCAGAAAGCCACGGCUAACUACGUG